CCUAAAAACGGGGCAAGUCGAACGAGAUCCAUCUGGUGGCAACACCCGUGAAGAUCUAGUGGCGAACGGGUGCGGAACCGAUGAGCAACCUGCCCCAAAGACUGGGAAGACCGCGGGAAACCGCUGCUAACAGACGGAAGCCCCCCGAAGCUCGCAUGGGCUUGUGCGGAAAGGAUUCCGCUUUGGGAGGGGCUCGCGGCCUAUCCGUUUGUUGGUGAGGUAACGGCUCACCAAGGGGACGACGGGUAGCUGGUCUGAGAGGACGAUCCGCCACACUGGGACUUAUAGGGAGCCCCGACUCCUACGGGAGGCCGCCGUGGGGAAUCUUGCGCAAUGGGCGAUUCAAAUGACGCCGCAACGCCGCGUGGGGGAUGAAGGCCUUCGGGUUGUAAACCCCUUUCCGUGGGAACGAAAUCGACGGUACCCACCGAAGUUCAAACCGGAAGAGGACAGAGUGCCCGCCGCCGCGGUGAAGCGUAGGGGGCGAGCGUUGUCCGGAUUACGGGGGGCGUAAAGAGCUCGUAGGCGGCUUGGUAAGUCGGGUGUGAAACCCCCCGGCUCAACCUGGGGACGCCACUCGAAGCUGCCAUAGCUAGAGUCCGGUAGGGGACCCGAGAAUUCCUGGUGUAGCGGUGAAAUGCGCCGAAGUCCGGAGGAACACCCGUGGCGAAAGCGGUGGUCUGGGCCGGCACUGACGCUGAGGAGCGAAAGCGUGGGGAGCGAACCGGAUUAGAA
This 735-nucleotide ribosomal RNA is filed under the name uncultured bacterium. RNAcentral describes it as "bacterial SSU rRNA". It matches the Rfam family "Bacterial small subunit ribosomal RNA", at positions 47 to 783 of the family's 1533-position model. The record is from RNAcentral.